Molecule: ribosomal RNA, 301 nt
Filed under: uncultured bacterium
Lineage: Bacteria
Description: partial 16S ribosomal RNA
Rfam family: Bacterial small subunit ribosomal RNA
Source: RNAcentral
CAGUAGCCACGGUAAUACAGAGGGUGCGAGCGUUAAUCGGAUUUACUGGGCGUAAAGCGUGCGUAGGCGGUCUGUCAAGUCAGAUGUGAAAUCCCCGGGCUUAACCUGGGAACUGCAUUUGAAACUGGCAGGCUAGAGUCUGGUAGAGGGGGGUAGAAUUCCAGGUGUAGCGGUGAAAUGCGUAGAGAUCUGGAGGAAUACCGGUGGCGAAGGCGGCCCCCUGGACAAAGACUGACGCUCAGGUGCGAAAGCGUGGGGAGCAAACAGGAUUAGAUACCCCUGUAGUCCCUGUCUCUUAUAU